RNAcentral lists this ribosomal RNA (503 nucleotides) under uncultured bacterium. RNAcentral's name for it is "bacterial SSU rRNA". It matches the Rfam family "Bacterial small subunit ribosomal RNA", at positions 34 to 507 of the family's 1533-position model. The record is from RNAcentral.
CGCUGGCGGCGUGCUUAACACAUGCAAGUCGAACGAGAAGAGAUGAGAAGCUUGCUUCUUAUCAAUUCGAGUGGCAAACGGGUGAGUAACGCGUAAGCAACCUGCCCUUCAGAUGGGGACAACAGCUGGAAACGGCUGCUAAUACCGAAUACGUUCUUUUUGUCGCAUGGCAGAGAGAAGAAAGGGAGGCUCUUCGGAGCUUUCGCUGAAGGAGGGGCUUGCGUCUGAUUAGCUAGUUGGAGGGGUAACGGCCCACCAAGGCGAUGAUCAGUAGCCGGUCUGAGAGGAUGAACGGCCACAUUGGGACUGAGACACGGCCCAGACUCCUACGGGAGGCAGCAGUGGGGAAUCUUCCGCAAUGGACGAAAGUCUGACGGAGCAACGCCGCGUGAACGAUGACGGCCUUCGGGUUGUAAAGUUCUGUUAUACGGGACGAAUGGCGUAGCGGUCAAUACCCGUUACGAGUGACGGUACCGUAAGAGAAAGCCACGGCUAACUACGUG